RNAcentral lists this ribosomal RNA (890 nucleotides) under uncultured organism. RNAcentral's name for it is "bacterial SSU rRNA". It matches the Rfam family "Bacterial small subunit ribosomal RNA", at positions 60 to 943 of the family's 1533-position model. The record is from RNAcentral.
AGUCGAACGGUAGCAGGUCCUUCGGGAUGCUGACGAGUGGCGGACGGGUGAGUAAUGCGCAGAAAUCUGCCCAAAAGUGAGGAAUAGCCUAGGGAAACUUAGGGUAAUACCGCAUGUGCCCUACGGGGUAAAGCAGGGGAUCUUCGGACCUUGCGCUUUUGGAUGAGUCUGCGUCGGAUUAGCUUGUUGGUGGGGUAAAGGCCUACCAAGGCGACGAUCCGUAGCUGGUUUGAGAGAAUGAUCAGCCACACUGGGACUGAGACACGGCCCAGACUCCUACGGGAGGCAGCAGUGGGGAAUAUUGGACAAUGGGCGAAAGCCUGAUCCAGCAAUGCCGCGUGUGUGAAGAAGGCCUGCGGGUUGUAAAGCACUUUCAGUAGUGAGGAAAGACUCAGCGCUAAUACCGCUGAGGGAUGACGUUAGCUACACAAGAAGCACCGGCUAACUCUGUGCCAGCAGCCGCGGUAAUACAGAGGGUGCGAGCGUUAAUCGGAAUUACUGGGCGUAAAGCGUGCGUAGGUGGUUAGGCCAGUCAGACGUGAAAGCCCCGGGCUCAACCUGGGAAUGCCGUUUGAUACUGCUUAGCUAGAGUACUGUAGAGGAAAGUAGAAUUUCCGGUGUAGCGGUGAAAUGCGUAGAUAUCGGAAGGAAUACCAGUGGCGAAGGCGACUUUCUGGACAGAAACUGACACUGAGGCACGAAAGCGUGGGUAGCAAACCAGGAUUAGAUACCCUGGUAGUCCACGCCGUAAACGAUGAGAACUGACUGUUGGGCCCCCUUGGGGGCUUAGUAGUGAAGCUAACGCGAUAAGUUUUCCGCCUGGGGAGUACGGCCGCAAUGUUACAACUCAAAGGAAUUGACGGGGGCCUGCACAAGCGGUGGAGCAUGUG